GACGAACGCUGGCGGCGUGCUUAACACAUGCAAGUCGAACGGAAAGGCCCUGCUGUUGUGGGGUGCUCGAGUGGCGAACGGGUGAGUAACAAGUGAGUAACCUGCCCUUGCCUUUGGGAUAACUGCAAGAAACUGGGGCUACUACCGGAUAGGCGCUCCUGCUGCAUGGGGUGGGUUGGAAUGUUUCGGCGGUUGGGGACGGACUCGUGGCUUAUCAGCUUGUUGGUGGGGGAGUGGCUUACCAAGGCUUGGACGGGUAGCCGGCCUGAGAGGGUGACCGGCCACAUUGGGACUGAGAUACGGCCCAGACUCCUACGGGAGGCAGCAGUGGGGAAUAUUGCACAAUGGGCGGAAGCCUGAUGCAGCAACGCCGCGUGCGGGAUGACGGCCUUCGGGUUGUAAACCGCUUUCGCCUGUGACGAAGCGUGAGUGACGGUAAUGGGUAAAGAAGCACCGGCUAACUACGUG
This 468-nucleotide ribosomal RNA is filed under the name uncultured bacterium. RNAcentral describes it as "partial 16S ribosomal RNA". It matches the Rfam family "Bacterial small subunit ribosomal RNA", at positions 28 to 507 of the family's 1533-position model. The record is from RNAcentral.